This is a non-coding RNA of Dama dama (fallow deer), 852 nucleotides long. NCBI's taxonomy places the organism in Eukaryota, Metazoa, Chordata, Mammalia, Artiodactyla, Cervidae. The record is from the annotation of a RefSeq genome assembly.
CCACAGAAGGCAGGACGCCGUGACCAUGUCCACCAUGGCCUGGUCCCCUCUGCUCCUCACCCUGGUCACUCUCUGCACAGGAUCCUGGGCCCAGGCUGUGCUGACCCAGCCGCCCUCUGUGUCCGCGUCCCUGGGCCAGAGGGUCACCAUCUCCUGCACCGGAAGCAGCAGCAACAUUGGGCUAUUGGGUGUGAGCUGGUACCAACACCUCCCAGGAUCAGCCCCUAAAACCCUGAUCUAUGAUAGUAACAAACGACCCUCGGGGGUCCCCGACCGAUUCUCUGGCACCAAGUCUGGCAACACAGGCACCCUGACCAUCACUUCGCUGCAGGCUGAGGACGAGGCUGAUUAUUACUGUGCGUCUCUUGAUUUCAGCCUUAAUAGUGGUGUUUUCGGCAGCGGGACCAAGCUGACCGUCCUGGGUCAGCCCAAGUCCGCACCCUCGGUCACUCUGUUCCCGCCCUCCACGGACGAGCUCAACACCAACAAGGCCACCCUGGUGUGUCUCAUCAGCGACUUCUACCCGGGUAGUGUGACCGUGGCCUGGAAGGCAGACGGCAGCACUGUCACCCGGGGCGUGGAGACCACCCAGCCCUCCAAACAGAGCAACAGCAAGUACGCGGCCAGCAGCUACCUGACCCUGACGGGCAGCGAAUGGAAAUCUAAAGGCAGUUACAGCUGCGAGGUCACGCACGAGGGGAGCACCGUGGCGAAGACAGUGAAGCCCUCAGAGUGCUCUUAAGGCCCCAGGCCCCCACCCCAGCAGGUUCUACCCUCCCACCUUGGUUCCCCGAGCCCUUCCUCCUACACACAAUCAGCUCUCAAUAAAAUGUCCUCAUUGUCAUUCAGAAA